RNAcentral lists this ribosomal RNA (253 nucleotides) under uncultured prokaryote. RNAcentral's name for it is "partial 16S ribosomal RNA". It matches the Rfam family "Bacterial small subunit ribosomal RNA", at positions 525 to 777 of the family's 1533-position model. The record is from RNAcentral.
ACAGAGGGUGCAAACGUUGUUCGGAAUUACUGGGCGUAAAGCGCGUGUAGGCUGCUCGGAAAGUCGGAUGUGAAAGCCCUGGGCUCAACCUAGGAAGUGCAUUCGAAACUUCUGAGCUUGAGUAUCGGAGAGGGUCGCGGAAUUCUCGGUGUAGAGGUGAAAUUCGUAGAUAUCGAGAGGAACACCGGUGGCGAAGGCGGCGACCUGGACGAAAACUGACGCUGAGACGCGAAAGCGUGGGGAGCAAACAGGA